RNAcentral lists this ribosomal RNA (484 nucleotides) under uncultured bacterium. RNAcentral describes it as "partial 16S ribosomal RNA". It matches the Rfam family "Bacterial small subunit ribosomal RNA", at positions 30 to 507 of the family's 1533-position model. The record is from RNAcentral.
AUUGAACGCUGGCGGCAGGCCUAACACAUGCAAGUCGAGCGGAUGAACGGUGCUUGCUCCUGGAUUCAGCUGCCGACGGGUGUGUAAUUCCUACGUAUCUGCCUGGUAGUUGUGUCUAACGUCCUUACACGGGCCCUAAUACCCCAUUCGUUCUUAGUUUGAACGUGUUGGAUCUUCGGACCUUACGCUUUUUGUUGUUCCUAGGUCGCAUUAGCUAGUUGGUUUGGUAAAGUCCUACCAAGCCGACGAUCCGUAACUUGUCUGAUAGGAUGAUCAGUCACACUGGAACUGAGACACGGUCCAGACUACUACGGGAGGCAGCAGUGGGGAAUAUUGGACAAUGGGCGAAAGCCUGAUCCAGCAAUGCCGCGUGUGUGAAGAAGGUCUUCGGAUUGUAAAGCACUUUAAGUUGGGAAGAAGAGAAGUAAGUUAAUACCUUGAUGUUUUGACGGUACCAAAAGAAAAAGCAACGGCUAACUACGUG